This 493-nucleotide ribosomal RNA is filed under the name uncultured bacterium. Its description in RNAcentral is "partial 16S ribosomal RNA". It matches the Rfam family "Bacterial small subunit ribosomal RNA", at positions 29 to 507 of the family's 1533-position model. The record is from RNAcentral.
AACGAACGCUGGCGGCGCGUCUUAAACAUGCAAGUCGAACGGCAGGAAGGGGCUUGCCCCUUCUGAGAGUGGCGGACUGGUGAGUAACACGUGGGUGACAUACCUUUUAGUUGGGGAUAGCUAUUAGAAAUAGUAGGUAAUACCGAAUGUGACCGUACCUGUUAGAGGGGUACGAGGAAAGGAGCUAAGGCUUCGCUAAAAGAAUGGCUCGCGGCCCAUUAUGCUCGUUGGUGAGGUAACGGCCCACCAAGGCGAUGAUGGGUAUCCGGCCUGAGAGGGUGAACGGACACAUUGGGACUGAGAUACGACCCAGACUUCUACGGGAGGCAGCAGUUAAGAAUAUUCUGCAAUGGACGAAAGUCUGACGGAGCGACGCCGCGUGGAUGAAGAAUGCCGAAAGGUUGUAAAAUCCUUUUAAGCCUGAUGAAUAAGCACAGUAGGGAAUGAUUGUGCGGUGACCGUAGGGCUUGAAUAAGCACCGGCUAAUUACGUG